AAACUGACUGGGAAUGAGGCUAAGUGACUUUUCCAAGGCCACAAAGCUGUAGGGAGACGCCCCGAGCAAGCUGAGCCAGCCGUGCCGGGAGUGGCAACGCGAGCCCGAACGCGCGGACGCCGGAGCGCGCGCUGGAG
Molecule: long non-coding RNA, 137 nt
Filed under: Mustela putorius furo (domestic ferret)
Lineage: Eukaryota; Metazoa; Chordata; Mammalia; Carnivora; Mustelidae
Description: lncRNA (ENSMPUG00000029505.1)
Source: RNAcentral